RNAcentral lists this ribosomal RNA (465 nucleotides) under uncultured bacterium. Its description in RNAcentral is "partial 16S ribosomal RNA". It matches the Rfam family "Bacterial small subunit ribosomal RNA", at positions 338 to 795 of the family's 1533-position model. The record is from RNAcentral.
CCUACGGGAGGCAGCAGUAGGGAAUCUUCCACAAUGGGCGAAAGCCUGAUGGAGCAACGCCGCGUGGGUGAAGAAGGUCUUCGGAUCGUAAAACCCUGUUGUUAGAGAAGAAAGUGCGUGAGCGUAACUGUUCACGUUUCGACGGUAUCUAACCAGCAAGCCACGGCUAACUACGUGCCAGCAGCCGCGGUAAUACGUAGGUGGCAAGCGUUAUACGGAUUUAUUGGGCGUAAAGGGUACGCAGGCGGUCUUUUAAGUCUGAUGUGAAAGCCUUCGGCUUAACCGGAGUAGUGCAUUGGAAACUGGGGGACGUGAGUGCAGAAGAGGAGAGUGGAACUCCAUGUGUAGCGGUGAAAUGCGUAGAUAGAUGGAAGAACACCAGUGGCGAAAGCGGCACUCUGGUCUGUAACUGACGCUGAGGUUCGAAAGCGUGGGUAGCAAACAGGAUUAGAUACCCGUGUAGUC